RNAcentral lists this unclassified non-coding RNA (272 nucleotides) under Hevea brasiliensis (rubber tree). The record is from RNAcentral. Lineage: Eukaryota; Viridiplantae; Streptophyta; Magnoliopsida; Malpighiales; Euphorbiaceae.
GUGCCUUAGUCACUAUGGAAACAUUAGAUAUGCAAGCAAAGUGAAGUAAUGGCAAUUUUGAUACCCAAGCAAGUGCAUGAAACUCAAGUAAGAAUUAAGAGAGAUCUUAAGGAGAAAAAUGAGAUGGGAGAGAACAAUGCAAGAGUGGCCGAACAUGAGUGUGAACAAAAAAGUGCUGAAAAUGAGAAGAAAGAAAUUAAGAGUGAAAGAAGAAAUGAGCAAAAGAGAGCAUUUGAAAAAAGAAGAGUACUUGAGGCAAAAGGAGAGAAGAG